Molecule: ribosomal RNA, 884 nt
Filed under: Neopestalotiopsis formicidarum
Lineage: Eukaryota; Fungi; Ascomycota; Sordariomycetes; Amphisphaeriales; Sporocadaceae
Description: Neopestalotiopsis formicarum partial 28S ribosomal RNA
Rfam family: Eukaryotic large subunit ribosomal RNA
Source: RNAcentral
CGACGGGGUGUAGACAACAGGGAUUGCCUUAGUAACGGCGAGUGAAGCGGUAACAGCUCAAAUUUGAAAUCUGGCCCUUGGGUCCGAAUUGUAAUUUGUAGAGGAUGAUUUUGGUGCGGUAUCUUCCGAGUUCCUUGGAACAGGACGCCUUAGAGGGUGAGAGCCCCGUACGGUUGAAUGCCUAGCCUCUGUAAAUCUCCUUCGACGAGUCGAGUAGUUUGGGAAUGCUGCUCUAAAUGGGAGGUAAAUUUCUUCUAAAGCUAAAUAUUGGCCAGAGACCGAUAGCGCACAAGUAGAGUGAUCGAAAGAUGAAAAGCACUUUGAAAAGAGGGUUAAAUAGCACGUGAAAUUGUUGAAAGGGAAGGAUUUGUGACCAGACUUUUUCUGGGCGGAUCAUCCGGGGUUCUCUCCGGUGCACUUCGCCCAGUAAAGGCCAGCAUCGGUUUUCGGCGUGGGAUAAAAGCAGUAGGAAUGUGGCUCUCUACGGGGAGUGUUAUAGCCUAUUGUAUAAUACCGCGCUGGGGACCGAGGUUCGCGCUUCUGCAAGGAUGCUGGCGUAAUGGUUAUCAAUCACCCGUCUUGAAACACGGACCAAGGAGUCGAACAUUUGUGCGAGUGUUUGGGUGUUAAACCCUCACGCGUAAUGAAAGUGAACGGAGGUGAGAGCCCUUACGGGUGCAUCAUCGACCGAUCCUGAAGUUUUCGGAUGGAUUUGAGUAAGAGCAUAACUGUUCGGACCCGAAAGAUGGUGAACUAUGCGUGGAUAGGGUGAAGCCAGAGGAAACUCUGGUGGAGGCUCGCAGCGGUUCUGACGUGCAAAUCGAUCGUCAAAUCUGCGCAUGGGGGCGAAAGACUAAUCGAACCAUCUAGUAGCUGGUUACCGC